Long non-coding RNA from Acanthopagrus latus (yellowfin seabream), 448 nucleotides. RefSeq lists it as uncharacterized. Lineage: Eukaryota; Metazoa; Chordata; Actinopteri; Spariformes; Sparidae. The transcript is spliced from 3 exons. The record is from RefSeq and is a predicted model, not a curated record.
UGUUCUUGCAUGUAAUUGGUCAGUUGUCAGGAGGCUUUUAAUUUUUAUCACGUGACCCAAUUAUGAAAUUCACCUGAUAAUCACUGAGGAGGACUGAGAUGUGCUGGAAAACCUCUGAAACAAGUAAGUUGGUCCUUGUCUGGAGUUGUGAUCUGUUGCAGGACCUGAUUAUUACUAACUUAUAUUACAGUUUAUUUCAUUCACAACUUUGUUAUGUGAAAUAAGUCUCUGACAUCACAGGAAGACAAAAGAGAUAUACCUACCUACCCCGCCCCACCAUGCCUGCUCUCGCCCGCCCCGUCCCCCCUGCCUCCGCGACGGGAAGCGGAGAGAGCAAUUACAUCAGCGUCGGUCUGGCGGCCUGGAGAUGAAGAGCUGUGUGGCUGUGGGCAAACACCUGGCCGCGGUUAGAGGGAGCAGGAGGAGUGCGAUGCAGGAGGAGGAGGAG